Non-coding RNA from Podarcis muralis (Common wall lizard), 2536 nucleotides. NCBI's taxonomy places the organism in Eukaryota, Metazoa, Chordata, Lepidosauria, Squamata, Lacertidae. The record is from RefSeq and is a predicted model, not a curated record.
CCGCGGCGGCUCAUGAUGUGCCUGGAGAGCGACGGCUCGUCGAGCGGCGGCCCGCCGGGCUGCAGCGGGCGCCUCCGGGUCUCGGCCGCGGCCGGCGCGGGCGACGACGACGAGGAGGACGACGGAGGAGGAGGAGGAGGAAGCGGCGGCGACCGCGGCUGCUGCGGGCGGAGCGGCGAGGUGCAGACCCUGUCGGGCGCCGUCCACGCGCCCCAGGGCGGCGCCGACAAGGCAGCGGCGGCGGCCGCGGGCGCCGCGCCUCCCAGCCUGGGCAGAGCGCGCGUGGCGGCCGCCGCCAUCCUCAGCGUGGGGAACGUCCUCAACUACCUGGACAGGUACACCGUGGCAGGUGUUUUGCUAGACAUUCAGCAACAUUUCGGAGUCAAGGACAGCGGAGCCGGCUUGCUGCAGACAGUUUUCAUCUGCAGCUUCAUGGUAGCAGCCCCAAUAUUCGGCUACCUGGGUGACCGUUUCAACAGGAAAAUUAUUCUCAGCUGCGGCAUUUUCUUCUGGUCGGCCAUCACCUUUUCCAGCUCCUUCAUCACUGAGCAGUAUUUCUGGCUGUUCGUCCUCUCGCGGGGUUUGGUCGGCAUCGGCGAAGCCAGCUACUCCACCAUUGCUCCCACCAUCAUCGGAGACCUCUUCACCAAAAACACCCGGACCCUCAUGCUCUCCGUUUUCUACUUCGCAAUCCCUUUGGGCAGCGGUUUAGGGUACAUCACUGGAUCAAGCGUCAAGCAAGUAGCUGGUGACUGGCACUGGGCCCUUCGGGUCUCCCCACUUUUAGGUAUGAUCACCGGCACACUCAUCUUAAUAUUUGUUCCAGCUGCUAAGAGGGGCAACGCCGAGCAGCUGGGGGCGCAGCUGAAGGCUCGGACCUCGUGGCUGAGGGACAUGAAGGCCUUGAUAAGGAACCGCAGCUACGUCUUUUCCUCUCUGGCUACCUCGGCCGUCUCCUUCGCCACGGGGGCCCUGGGUAUGUGGAUCCCCCUCUACCUCCACCGGGCGCAAGUGGUCCAGAAAACCGCAGAGACCUGCACAUCUCAGCCCUGCGGGACCAAAGACAGCUUGAUCUUCGGAGCUAUCACCUGCUUCACCGGAUUUCUGGGCGUGAUCACCGGGGCCGGCGCAACCAAGUGGUGCCGUUUGAAGACGCAGCGAGCGGAUCCCCUCGUCUGCGCCGUUGGGAUGCUGGGUUCAGCCAUCUUCACUUGCCUGAUCUUCGUUGCGGCAAAGAGCAGCAUUGUGGGAGCCUAUGUCUGCAUUUUUAUCGGUGAGACGCUCUUGUUUUCAAACUGGGCCAUCACUGCUGACAUACUCAUGUACGUGGUUAUUCCUACACGCCGGGCAACUGCAGUAGCUUUGCAAAGCUUCACCUCACACCUUCUGGGAGACGCUGGGAGCCCUUACCUGAUUGGAUUUAUCUCUGACCUGAUUCGCCAGAGCACAAAGGAAUCUCCGCUCUGGGAAUUCCUCAGCUUGGGCUACGCGCUCAUGCUCUGCCCUUUCGUCGUCGUCCUGGGGGGGAUGUUUUUCCUAGCCACGGCCCUCUUCUUCCUGAGCGAUCGAGCCAAAGCAGAGCAACACACGGAUCUGGACCGCCUUGCCACGGGCACCUCCAGUAACUCGGAAGACACAGCCACAUGACCGCUACAACUUGGGAGUAAAUCAACUCAUGAUGCCUCCAGCCUCUGUGAAAGUCUAAGGCGCUGACGUCCCGGAUGAUGAAGGAAAGCUUUUGUGAGCUCCGGCAGCCGCCGAAACCCAAAGCGAGCACCUGCAGGAGACGCCCUCCCCCCUCCAAUCCACCCUUCCCGGAACAUGGAGCCGCGGGAAAUUCAUCCCGGGGAACCAAUUACGCAGCGACAUGGUGUUACUUCAGCCAGAGGAGAGGGGGAGUCCGUUGGAGCACAUCUCAACAGACGUGGAGUCCUGUGCUUUUGCGGUCUUGCGUAAAGAAGAGCUCCCGUCUCCCCUGCUCCAGAGGGAAGGGACCUUCCUGGCUGGCAUCUUUCCCAAAAAGAAGUCACUUGAAGGACUGGUGUACAGCUUUGCUUUCGGCUCCAUGAAGAUGCUCCCUUGGGUCAACGGCGAAGACUCCCUGCCCCAUUGAACACACUGCUGCUCUUGCCAUCCAUCUCUUGUCUCCAUCCAGAGGCGUCAUCCUAGUUGGAGAAGCAGAGCCUCAGCUUUGGGUUGUGAAAGCCAAGAUCCGUUUUGUAUUAUUGAAUCAUGGCAUAGGACACUUCCUGCAGGAGGUCAAAAAGAUUGGGCCGGAUGGGCACAUUCACAUACAUACAUAUAUAUAUUUAAUUUAAAGGUGUUCUUUGCACUAGCAGGAAGCUGCUGGAGCUACCUCAAGGCCACUGCAGGGUUUGGUCUUGGUCAGGAAUUUGGUGUUUCAACUUUCUACUGGGGAAUCCAAGCGUAAUUUCAAGCCCUUUGAGGGGUGGGGAGAAGCAACAGAGAAAGAGGCGGCGUGGGCAGCUUUAGCCGAGAACGUUACCUACCUACUGAUGGUCCUCCGGGUCAGAAA